AUUGAACGCUGGCGGAAUGCUUUACACAUGCAAGUCGAACGGUAGAGGGGCAACCCUUGAGAGUGGCGAACGGGUGAGUAAUGUAUCGGAACAUGCCCAGUCGUGGGGGAUAACGUAGCGAAAGUUACGCUAAUACCGCAUACGAGCUAUGGAUGAAAGCGGGGGAUCGCAAGACCUCGCGCGAUUGGAGUGGCCGAUAUCAGAUUAGGUAGUUGGUGGGGUAAAGGACUACCAAGCCGACGAUCUGUAGCUGGUUUGAGAUGACGACCAGCCCCGCGGGUGAUGAGAGACGGCCCAGACUCGUACGGGAGGGAGCAGUGGGGAAUUUUCGACAAUGGGCGAAAGCCUGAUCCAGCCAUUCCGCGGGCAGGAAGAAGGCCGUCGGGUUGUAAACUGCUUUUGUACGGAACGAAACGCGCUGUGCUAAUACCACGGCGUAAUGACGGUACCGUAAGAAUAAGCACCGGCUAACUACGUGCCAGCAGCCGCCGCGG
Molecule: ribosomal RNA, 494 nt
Filed under: uncultured bacterium
Lineage: Bacteria
Description: partial 16S ribosomal RNA
Rfam family: Bacterial small subunit ribosomal RNA
Source: RNAcentral